UACGUAGGGGGCAAGCGUUGUCCGGAUUUAUUGGGCGUAAAGAGCGUGUAGGCGGCCAGGUAGGUCCGUUGUGAAAACUCGAGGCUCAACCUCGAGACGCCGAUGGAAACCAUCUGGCUAGAGUCCGGAAGAGGAGAGUGGAAUUCCUGGUGUAGCGGUGAAAUGCGCAGAUAUCAGGAAGAACACCGGUGGCGAAGGCGGCGACCUGGUUCGAUACUGACACUGAGGUGCGGAAGCGUGGGGAGCAAACAGG
This 253-nucleotide ribosomal RNA is filed under the name uncultured bacterium. RNAcentral describes it as "partial 16S ribosomal RNA". It matches the Rfam family "Bacterial small subunit ribosomal RNA", at positions 524 to 776 of the family's 1533-position model. The record is from RNAcentral.